RNAcentral lists this ribosomal RNA (254 nucleotides) under uncultured bacterium. RNAcentral's name for it is "partial 16S ribosomal RNA". It matches the Rfam family "Bacterial small subunit ribosomal RNA", at positions 524 to 776 of the family's 1533-position model. The record is from RNAcentral.
UACGGAGGGGGCGAGCGUUAUUCGGAAUUAUUGGGCGUAAAGGGCGCGUAGGCGGCUUGACAAGUCACUUGUGAAAUCUCCGGGCUUAACCCGGAACGGUCAGAUGAUACUGCUUUGCUAGAGUGCGGAAGGGGCAAUCGGAAUUCUUGGUGUAGCGGUGAAAUGCGUAGAUAUCAAGAGGAACACCUGAGGUGAAGACGGGUUGCUGGGCCGACACUGACGCUGAUAGCGCGAAAGCCAGGGGAGCAAACGGG